RNAcentral lists this ribosomal RNA (217 nucleotides) under uncultured bacterium. Its description in RNAcentral is "partial 16S ribosomal RNA". It matches the Rfam family "Bacterial small subunit ribosomal RNA", at positions 120 to 334 of the family's 1533-position model. The record is from RNAcentral.
AGCAACCUGCCUUUCGAGGGGGGAGUAACAUUUGGAAACAGAUGCUAAUACCGCAUAAGAUUACAGUACCGCAUGAUACAGUGAUCAAAGGAGCAAUCCGCUGAAAGAUGGGCUCGCGUCCGACUAGAUAGUCGGUGAGGUAACGGCUCACCAAGUCGACGAUCGGUAGCCGGACUGGGAGGUUGAACGGCCACAUUGGGACUGAGACACGGCCCAG